Marmota flaviventris (yellow-bellied marmot) is the source of this 254-nucleotide long non-coding RNA. RefSeq lists it as uncharacterized. Lineage: Eukaryota; Metazoa; Chordata; Mammalia; Rodentia; Sciuridae. The record is from RefSeq and is a predicted model, not a curated record.
GUGAUGGCUGCAGGUCGCCUGAGUUCCCACCCCAGCCACGUGCGGCUUCUGUGAUGACAGAGCUGGGACCUUCUCAGAAACUGAGGCAGUGCAAAGGCCCCCACUUCAACCUGUAAUUCUUUGGAUCAAAUCAGAAAGAUGUCAAACAUAUUGCUCAGAGGUCUUGCUAAAUUGCUGAAGCUGAUCUUGAACUUUAAUCCUCCUGCCUCAUCCUGUUGAGUUGCUAGAAUUACAAACAUGCACCAUCUGGCCCA